UAAGGUGUACUACAAGUCUCC
This 21-nucleotide non-coding RNA is filed under the name Arabidopsis thaliana (thale cress). Lineage: Eukaryota; Viridiplantae; Streptophyta; Magnoliopsida; Brassicales; Brassicaceae. The record is from RNAcentral.